ACACUCCUGCGGGAGGCAGCAGUGGGGAAUAUUGCACAAUGGGCGCAAGCCUGAUGCAGCCAUGCCGCGUGUAUGAAGAAGGCCUUCGGGUUGUAAAGUACUUUCAGCGGGGAGGAAGGCGAUAAGGUUAAUAACCUUGUCGAUUGACGUUACCCGCAGAAGAAGCACCGGCUAACUCCGUGCCAGCAGCCGCGGUAAUACGGAGGGUGCAAGCGUUAAUCGGAAUUACUGGGCGUAAAGCGCACGCAGGCGGUCUGUCAAGUCGGAUGUGAAAUCCCCGGGCUCAACCUGGGAACUGCAUUCGAAACUGGCAGGCUAGAGUCUUGUAGAGGGGGGUAGAAUUCCAGGUGUAGCGGUGAAAUGCGUAGAGAUCUGGAGGAAUACCGGUGGCGAAGGCGGCCCCCUGGACAAAGACUGACGCUCAGGUGCGAAAGCGUGGGGAGCAAACAGGAUUAGAUACCCGUGUAGUCCCAUG
Molecule: ribosomal RNA, 475 nt
Filed under: uncultured organism
Description: partial 16S ribosomal RNA
Rfam family: Bacterial small subunit ribosomal RNA
Source: RNAcentral